This 543-nucleotide ribosomal RNA is filed under the name uncultured archaeon. Its description in RNAcentral is "bacterial SSU rRNA". It matches the Rfam family "Archaeal small subunit ribosomal RNA", at positions 327 to 872 of the family's 1478-position model. The record is from RNAcentral.
GGGGCGCAGCAGGCGCGAAAACUGCACAAUGUGGGAAACCACGAUGCGGGAAACCCAAGUGCCAGCGCUAUGCGUUGGCUGUCCUCCAGUGUUCGUAACUGGGGAAGAAAGUGCUGGGUAAGACGGGUGCCAGCCGCCGCGGUAAUACCCGCAGCACAGGUGGUGGUCAUUAUUAUUGGGCCUAAAGCGUCCGUAGCUGGCUUGUUAGAUGCCUGGGUAAAUCGAUGCGCUCAACGCAUCGAACUCCGGGUAGACCGGCAAGCUUGGGACCGGGAGAGGCGUGAGCUACUCGAGGGGUAGGGGUAAAAUCCUGUAAUCCUUCGGGGAGGACCAGUGGCGAAGGCGUCACGCUAGAACGGCUCCGACAGUGAGGGACGAAGCCCUGGGGCGCAAACCGGAUUAGAUACCCGGGUAGUCCAGGGUGUAAACGCUGCAGACUUGGUGUCGGUGAUCCUACGAGGGUUGCCGGUGCCGUAGAGAAGUUGUUUAGUCUGCCGCCUGGGGAGUACGGUCGCAAGACUGAAACUCAAAGGAAUUGACGGA